RNAcentral lists this long non-coding RNA (508 nucleotides) under Anser brachyrhynchus (Pink-footed goose). RNAcentral's name for it is "lncRNA (ENSABRG00000013797.1)". Lineage: Eukaryota; Metazoa; Chordata; Aves; Anseriformes; Anatidae. The record is from RNAcentral.
AUGAGGGUGUCUAGGUUGUGUUAUUCCAUGAGCACCACAAGAAAGACAGCAGGACCCCAGUUGCUUGAAGAGCUUGGUGCAAUGUGGUGCUCUUCAGAGACUUCUGCUGUGAAUUUGGGUGAGUCUCUUUGUCUUGAUUUUCCAUUUAUACAGCAGAAAUACUAUUUUCAUGGUUCUUUAAAGUGUGCCUUCAGUCCAUGUGCAUGCAGUCCCUGAUACCAUUUGUUGUUGACCUUGUUCAGAAGCUUGAGGCCUGCAGAAUUAAAACAAAAAAGGUGUUCAAUAUAGAGUUGUUGUUUUUUUGGUUGGUUGGUUGGAUUUUUUUUUUUGUCCAUCUCCUAAUGUCCAGGAGCUUGUGCUCCAGCUGAGCAUGCAGAUAGCUCCUACAGCGUUUCAAGAGUUGGUCAUGCAGGUUUUAUUUAAGUCUCCAGGAUUUAUCAUUUGCUCUUUGCCCAUCAAAGGGUAGGUUGCUGCUCUGAAAUACACUAGAAUUGAAGCUGAGAAAGUG